AUUGAACGCUGGCGGCAGGCCUAACACAUGCAAGUCGAGCGGGGUUUUCGGACCUAGCGGCGGACGGGUGAGUAAUGCGUAGGAAGCUGCCCGAUAGAGGGGGAUACCAGUUGGAAACGACUGUUAAUACCGCAUAAUGUCUACGGACCAAAGUGUGGGACCUUCGGGCCACAUGCUAUCGGAUGCGCCUACGUGGGAUUAGCUAGUUGGUGAGGUAAUGGCUCACCAAGGCGACGAUCUCUAGAUGGUGUGAGAGGAUGAUCAGCCACACUGGGACUGAGACACGGUCCAGACUCCUACGGGAGGCAGCAGUGGGGAAUAUUGGACAAUGGGCGCAAGCCUGAUCCAGCCAUGCCGCGUGUGUGAAGAAGGCCUUCGGGUUGUAAAGCACUUUCAGCGAGGAGGAAGGGUGGUGUGUUAAUAGCACAUCAUUUUGACGUUACUCGCAGAAGAAGCACCGGCUAACUCUGUGCCAGCCGCCGCGGUAA
RNAcentral lists this ribosomal RNA (488 nucleotides) under uncultured bacterium. Its description in RNAcentral is "partial 16S ribosomal RNA". It matches the Rfam family "Bacterial small subunit ribosomal RNA", at positions 30 to 523 of the family's 1533-position model. The record is from RNAcentral.